GGCUGGCCAAAAAGUUCAUUUGGGUUUUUCCAUACAAUAGUACAAAAACCCAAGUGAACUUUUUGACCAAUCC
RNAcentral lists this microRNA precursor (73 nucleotides) under Ovis aries (sheep). Its description in RNAcentral is "miRNA (ENSOARG00000023319.1)". The record is from RNAcentral. Lineage: Eukaryota; Metazoa; Chordata; Mammalia; Artiodactyla; Bovidae.